Long non-coding RNA from Anguilla rostrata (American eel), 1057 nucleotides. RefSeq lists it as uncharacterized. The transcript has 3 exons. Lineage: Eukaryota; Metazoa; Chordata; Actinopteri; Anguilliformes; Anguillidae. The record is from RefSeq and is a predicted model, not a curated record.
AAGGGCUGAGUGUCUGUGGCUGUUGUGGUUAUUUCUGUGGGGAACCCUGAAAAGUGCCAAACUCUCGGUGCUGUAUAGGUAUGGGGCAUGCCUCCGCCAAGGCGUAACUUGGCGGGAUGGCAUACCUGCCAUCCCAAUACCUGUCAAUUUUGUUUUCUUUUUUGUGAUGGUCAUAAUUUAGAAGCGGAAACAAAUUUUGCUCAGAGGGGGUGUACUCAUUUGCAACAUGGCUUUUCAUAAUGUUGGUUAAAAAAACAUGCUUUCCUCUUUAGCAUUGCAGUAUUGCAGUGUUGCUGAAACACUACAUAAUAUCUUUUUUAUUUGUAAAGCGAUAAAGAUGGAUUUCCAUUUUUCAGAGAGGGUGUACUCCUUCAUGAUGUGCACCGUAACAUUGCUGUGUCCUAAGCAUGGUGCCCUAAAAUUGGGGGGAUUGUUUAUAAAAAGGGCUGUAAUUCAUACACUGUGCACCCGAUAUGGAUGUAAAUACCCUUUUUUAUUACAAAUCUCAAAUUGUGGAGUACAGAGGCAAAUCAAUAAAUGAUGGGUCUUUGUCCCACACAUUAUGGAGGGCACUGUAUUCCUAAUAAUAUUUAAAUGCGUUUAAUUUCAUAUUGUUUGUUCUCUGCAGGUUUCUGCCUCUGCUGCUGACGUUGAGAGGUCCUUAACUUUGCCUGACAGUCCUCGAUUGAUUGUUCUCGAACUCGCUUCCGCAGGCGAGGCCCCCGUGGCGACGGAACCUCUCCAACCUUCGCUAUCCCUCACUGACCCCCUGUGCGAAUUCACGGUCGCAGGAGGGCUAUGGAACUGCCAGUCUGCUACGCGGAAGGCUGACUUCAUUUCAGCCUACGCGUCCCUCUUCUCUCUACAUUUCCUUGCCCUCACUGAGACCUGGAUCACACCAGGCAACACUGCAACCCCUACAGCCCUCUCCUCCUCCUUCUCCUUCUCUCACGCCCUCCGCCCGUCUGGCCGUGGUGGGGGCACAGGGCCCCUGGGAAGCUUCCUCGAUGGGCUCGACACCCUGCUCAGCUCCUUCCCAGAGGAUGGUGUAGAGGGA